CAGCACCUCAAGUGGUCAGGAUGAUUAUUGGGCCUAAAGCAUCCGUAGCCGGCUCUGUAAGUUUUCGGUUAAAUCUGUACGCUCAACGUACAGGCUGCCGGGAAUACUGCAGAGCUAGGGAGUGGGAGAGGUAGACGGUACUCGGUAGGAAGGGGUAAAAUCCUUUGAUCUAUUGAUGACCACCUGUGGCGAAGGCGGUCUACCAGAACACGUCCGACGGUGAGGGAUGAAAACUGGGGGAGCAAACCGGAUUAGAGACCCGUGUAGUCC
RNAcentral lists this ribosomal RNA (270 nucleotides) under uncultured archaeon. RNAcentral's name for it is "partial 16S ribosomal RNA". It matches the Rfam family "Archaeal small subunit ribosomal RNA", at positions 477 to 747 of the family's 1478-position model. The record is from RNAcentral.